Molecule: long non-coding RNA, 733 nt
Organism: Gigantopelta aegis
Lineage: Eukaryota; Metazoa; Mollusca; Gastropoda; Neomphalida; Peltospiridae
Exons: 3
Source: RefSeq, a predicted model, not a curated record
CAAGUGGCAUAUGACCGAUGUUUUGUCACGUACCCCAGCUCCCACAGCUGUACAUCUUUGAAUGACCAAACUUGAAAACCCACUGUUCAGCAUAUGCACGGCACUGUGUAUGCGGCUGGUGAAAUUUCUAUGAUAUUUUGCUCUGGGAUGACUGUAAUCCGGACACGGCAUGGGAAUCGCCAUCAGUCGUGAAGAAUCCAAUCGUGAGUGGAGAGACGUCUGAUGAGAAGUCACUUGAACACUGAGCUGCAGAAUGUUCUUCGUCUCCUAUUGUGUCGUCAAGCCGGAGAUUUGCUGUACAGGAACUCGCCUGCCUGUGUACCACCUCCAGUUGAGAUCCGUGUUGGUCGGAGAAGUCUAAUGUCACUGGGAAUUCCAUCCGCAUCCUUGACGAUGUAUGACUGUCUAUCACAAUGGUGUACCACAGCGUUGAACUCUUCUUGACUAAGUCUCUUGGUAACUGGUAUGUUGUCACCUUCAGGCUUAAGACACUUUGUUUUAGUAACACCUAUAGUUCUUUUGAACAGACAUUGGUGUCCCUUUUGAAAGGCACCCUUGUUGUGCAGGUUUUCUGUUGGAUUUUUCUUUGGCUUCAUUGUUAGCACACUGGGUGUGGUAUAUUCUCUUAGUAUAAGGAAAAGUGUGAACUUUUGUAUCUCUUAGCAUGUAGCAGUCUUCAGUGGAAUGGAACCUGUGGUGUGUGUUAUGUUAAUAAAUACUCUCAUGCAGUAAA